This 506-nucleotide ribosomal RNA is filed under the name uncultured bacterium. Its description in RNAcentral is "partial 16S ribosomal RNA". It matches the Rfam family "Bacterial small subunit ribosomal RNA", at positions 28 to 523 of the family's 1533-position model. The record is from RNAcentral.
GAUGAACGCUAGCUACAGGCUUAACACAUGCAAGUCGCGGGGCAGCAUGUCGGUUGCUUGCAACCGAUGAUGGCGACCGGCGCACGGGUGAGUAACGCGUAUCCAACCUGCCCUUCACCACGGAAUAAUCCAGUGAAAAUUGGUCUAAUACCGUAUGAGGUCAUACGAUGGCAUCAGAAUAUGACGAAAGGUUUGGCGGUGAAGGAUGGGGAUGCGUCUGAUUAGCUUGUUGGUGAGGUAACGGCUCACCAAGGCGACGAUCAGUAGGGGUUCUGAGAGGAAGGUCCCCCACAUUGGAACUGAGACACGGUCCAAACUCCUACGGGAGGCAGCAGUGAGGAAUAUUGGUCAAUGGGCGAGAGCCUGAACCAGCCAAGUAGCGUGCAGGAAGACGGCCCUAUGGGUUGUAAACUGCUUUUAUAUGGGGAUAAAGUGAGCUACGUGUAGUUUAUUGCAGGUACCAUAUGAAUAAGGACCGGCUAAUUCCGUGCCAGCCGCCGCGGUAA